This 274-nucleotide ribosomal RNA is filed under the name uncultured bacterium. RNAcentral describes it as "partial 16S ribosomal RNA". It matches the Rfam family "Bacterial small subunit ribosomal RNA", at positions 523 to 796 of the family's 1533-position model. The record is from RNAcentral.
AUACGGGGGGUGCAAGCGUUAAUCGGAAUUACUGGGCGUAAAGCGCGCGUAGGCGGUUUGCUCAGUCGGAUGUGAAAGCCCAGGGCUCAACCUUGGAACUGCAUACGAUACUGGCAAACUAGAGUGUGAGAGAGGAGAGUGGAAUUUCCGGUGUAGCGGUGAAAUGCGUAGAUAUCGGAAGGAAAAUCAGUGGCGAAGGCGACUGUCUGGCUAAACACUGACGCUGAGGUGCGAAAGCGUGGGUAGCAAACAGGAUUAGAUACCCGAGUAGUCC